This is a long non-coding RNA of Chinchilla lanigera (long-tailed chinchilla), 1464 nucleotides long. RefSeq lists it as uncharacterized. Lineage: Eukaryota; Metazoa; Chordata; Mammalia; Rodentia; Chinchillidae. The transcript has 3 exons. The record is from RefSeq and is a predicted model, not a curated record.
UUGGUGCUUUCUUUGUAACAGCCCCAAAUUGGACACUUCCUCAAGACUCAUAAACAAGAGAAUGGAUCAGCUGUUGCGGACUGUGGCAAGGUCCCCAACUGCUACGUGGAACAUGGGCGACUCCUACAACACUGAGCGAAGUAAGCUGACAGGAAGAACAGCUGCUAAGAGUGGCUGCUGUACGAUUUUAUUUAUAUAAAAUUCAAGACAGGCAGAACUGAUGCAUGGAUGUGAGAAGUUAUGCUUGUGUUUACCCUGGGUGCAGACGGCAGUGGCUGAGGUCGGGGGCUGUGAGCCGUGAAAAUUCAAAGCCGUAUCCUUAGUAUCUGUGUCUUUUUCCUCCCAGAUUUGUGCAUUUCUUGUCCUGUUGGGAGUUUCCCAGCUGUGCAUCGGAGAAUUGAAUUUGCAGGUUGGGGAGGCGCUGCCGUCCGAAAACAAGGUCCCCACGUGGCUCGCCAAACGCACUUUGCAGCCCAAGUAGGUACAGACGUUCCUUAUUAUCUGACCUCCCUCUCAAGUCCCGCCGGUUUUCGCUUUUGUUUUUUUUUCCGGUACCGGGAGUGGAACUCACGACCUUGCUCCUGCCAGGCAGGCGCUGUGCCGCUGAGCUAAAGCCCCAGCCCCGGUCUUCGCUUUCAUCCCCUCCGCGAGGACGAAGCCCGAGCUGCCCGGCCCCGCGCGCCAGGCCUUCUGCGGCGUCAGCGCAGUCGCGUCCGGGCUCCCCCCGCCACCUCCGACCGCAGCGCCCUAGCAGGAAGCAGCUCACGGCCCCUGCUCAAGCAGCAUCCGGCUGCUCCAGGUUUUCCCGAAGCUCCAUUACUCUGGCAAGGCCAUUUUCUCCAAGGAAGCUGUCAUCCACCCAGGAGUUCGAGGAGGUCCGAGUGUGAGAACCGUUAUCCAUUACCCGGCCGGAAACAGGACGACCGCGCAGAGAGCUCUGCCUUCCGGAAGACCCGCCCCACUUGUCCAAUCAGCGGGAGGAAGGGCAGCUUGAGCCCGUUGCCAGGAACUACGAUGGCGUCCCGGGAUUGCUCUGCGCUCCUACGAACGCUAGCGGCAUAGCCACGCCCCUUCCUAGACGCUCGACCAGCUCUUCCAAUCAGCGGGAGGAAGGGCAACUCGAGGGCGGCGCCAGGAGCCAACAUGGCGUUCCCGGCUCGCUCUGUCCUCUCGGAGGCUAGCCGCGGAGCCGCGUCCUUUCUGGCUAUUGCUGAUCUGGGUUCUGUCAUCCUCGACAUCACCUGUCCCUCUUUCACUUAUGGAAACGACCCAGCCAGCAGAUUGAGAAGAUUCUGCGCUCACAGCAUUAACCCAGAUCCAAAAUCACACCUGCAGGUGUGAGGUGUUUCUCCGCGUCUGCUGAGUGAGUGAGGUCACUGCCUUCUCGGGAAGCUGCCUGGGUCCGCGGGAGUGGAGCGGCACGCGUUCACACACAGUGCAAGUCAGAAUGGGCUUCUUUAUUCA